This 253-nucleotide ribosomal RNA is filed under the name uncultured bacterium. RNAcentral's name for it is "partial 16S ribosomal RNA". It matches the Rfam family "Bacterial small subunit ribosomal RNA", at positions 524 to 776 of the family's 1533-position model. The record is from RNAcentral.
UACAGAGGUCUCAAGCGUUGUUCGGAUUCAUUGGGCGUAAAGGGUGCGUAGGCGGCCAACUAAGUCAGACGUGAAAUCCCUCGGCUUAACCGGGGAACUGCGUCUGAUACUGGAUGGCUUGAGGUUGGGAGAGGGAUGCGGAAUUCCAGGUGUAGCGGUGAAAUGCGUAGAUAUCUGGAGGAACACCGGUGGCGAAGGCGGCAUCCUGGACCAAUUCUGACGCUGAGGAGCGAAAGCCAGGGGAGCAAACGGG